RNAcentral lists this ribosomal RNA (500 nucleotides) under uncultured bacterium. RNAcentral's name for it is "bacterial SSU rRNA". It matches the Rfam family "Bacterial small subunit ribosomal RNA", at positions 8 to 552 of the family's 1533-position model. The record is from RNAcentral.
AGAGUUUGAUCAUGGCUCAGAACGAACGCUGGCGGCAGGCCUAACACAUGCAAGUCGAGCGCCCGUAGCAAUACGGGAGUGGCGCACGGGUGAGUAACGCGUGGGAACCUGCCCAGUGGUGGGGGAUAACUGCGGGAAACUGCAGCUAAUACCGCAUGAGCCCGAGAGGGGAAAGAUUUAUCGCCAUUGGAGGGGCCCGCGUUCGAUUAGGUAGUUGGUGAGGUAACGGCUCACCAAGCCGACGAUCGAUAGCUGGUCUGAGAGGAUGAUCAGCCACACUGGGACUGAGAUACGGCCCAGACUCCUACGGGAGGCAGCAGUGGGGAAUAUUGGACAAUGGGGGCAACCCUGAUCCAGCAAUGCCGCGUGAGUGAUGAAGGCCUUCGGGUUGUAAAGCUCUUUUGGCGGGGACGAUGAUGACGGUACCCGCAGAAUAAGCCCCGGCUAACUACGUGCCAGCAGCCGCGGUAAUACGUAGGGUGCGAGCGUUAAUCGGAAUU